GAUGAACGCUGGCGGCGUGCCUAAUACAUGCAAGUCGAGCGAACAGACGAGGAGCUUGCUCCUCUGACGUUAGCGGCGGACGGGUGAGUAACACGUGGCUAACCUACCUAUAAGACUGGGAUAACUUCGGGAAACCGGAGCUAAUACCGGAUAAUAUAUUGAACCGCAUGGUUCAAUAGUGCAAGCCGGUUUUGCUGUCACUUAUUGAUGGAUCCGCGCCGCAUUAGCUAGUUGGUAAGGUAACGGCUUACCAAGGCAACGAUGCGUAGCCGACCUGAGAGGGUGAUCGGCCACACUGGAACUGAGACACGGUCCAGACUCCUACGGGAGGCAGCAGUAGGGAAUCUUCCGCAAUGGGCGAAAGCCUGACGGAGCAACGCCGCGUGAGUGAUGAAGGUCUUCGGAUCGUAAAACUCUGUUAUUAGGGAAGAACAAAUGUGUAAGUAACUAUGCACGUCUUGACGGUACCUAAACAGAAAGCCACGGCUAACUACGUG
This 497-nucleotide ribosomal RNA is filed under the name uncultured bacterium. Its description in RNAcentral is "partial 16S ribosomal RNA". It matches the Rfam family "Bacterial small subunit ribosomal RNA", at positions 28 to 507 of the family's 1533-position model. The record is from RNAcentral.